Molecule: ribosomal RNA, 394 nt
Filed under: uncultured bacterium
Lineage: Bacteria
Description: partial 16S ribosomal RNA
Rfam family: Bacterial small subunit ribosomal RNA
Source: RNAcentral
UGCGCAAUGGAGGAAACUCUGACGCAGCGACGCCGCGUGAGCGAUGAAGGUCUUCGGAUCGUAAAGCUCUGUCCUCAGGGAAGAAGAAAGUGACGGUACCUGAGGAGGAAGCCCCGGCUAACUACGUGCCAGCAGCCGCGGUAAUACGUAGGGGGCAAGCGUUGUCCGGAUUUACUGGGCGUAAAGGGCGCGUAGGCGGUAGUUUAAGUCAGAUGUGAAAGUCCAGGGCUCAACCGUGGAAUUGCAUUUGAAACUGAAUUACUUGAGUGCAGGAGAGGAGAGCGGAAUUCCUAGUGUAGCGGUGAAAUGCGUAGAUAUUAGGAAGAACACCAGUGGCGAAGGCGGCUCUCUGGACUGUAACUGACGCUGAGGCGCGAAAGCGUGGGGAGCGAAC